CAAAUAUAUCUGACACUCUGCAAGUAAAUCGAACAUUUUUACCCUUGGUUAAAUUUGAAUAGAAUUGUAUUUUCCCUGGCACAUAAGUUGUCGAAAUACACCCCUUCAAUUACUUGAACCUUGGCUUGAGAAUUAUUUCCCAAGUCAUCUAUAGCGUUUAACUUCUGAUAUACAUUCUAAAAUAUAGUAAUCUACUCCUGGAUCGUCCGCGAAAACGGCAAAUAUAAUCCCGGGUUUUUAUUAAUUCGAUGAAACGGUUUUCGUUGCUGUUUGGGAUUCGUCUUUCAAUUACCUCCAUUUCAUGCACAAGUUUAUAUUGACGAAAAGUUCCGGCUUCGCUAGUACAGGAAUUAUUUUCAUCACGACCGUUAUAACAUGAAUAGCAGGACAAAUCGCGAAGUAAAACAUUCCGUGAACUGGUAUUAAGUCUUUUAAUAUUGGUGAUUGCACCUUACUGAAGUGACGACUUUAAAUGAUCUAUUUCGGAGUACUUCCGUAAAAUAAAUUUCAAUUCGCAUUUUACAUUUAGAGGACUGUCUUGGUGUCUCCAAUUUGUCUUUGCAAAAGUUGGACGAAGUUCAUGUAAUGGGAUGUUUUCCCCAUUUCCCAAUUCUUUUAAAUAAAUCGUUAAAAGCUAUAAACGACUAAUAAAAAUUGCAAAAUUUAACCUGUGUCGAACCUAUGUCCCCGGGCGGAGUCUAUAGCAACAUGCACUAUUCUUUUUUUUUCGGCAGCAAUCAUCAAC
RNAcentral lists this long non-coding RNA (745 nucleotides) under Mytilus galloprovincialis (Mediterranean mussel). Lineage: Eukaryota; Metazoa; Mollusca; Bivalvia; Mytilida; Mytilidae. The record is from RNAcentral.